UUAGGCUCAAAACAACAUUUGCAGGAAAAAAAAGGGAGGAAGAACAGCCGAGAGAGAGAGUGGGUUGUGAGUGUGUAGGCUGCUGGGAACAAAAGAAAGCCAAGGAAAAAGCUAUGGAUUAGAGAGGGAAAUGAAGAAAAGAAAAGGGGAAGUAGAGGAGAAUCAAUUAAAAUGCUGAAAUUAAAGUUUAAGUCACGCGCCAUUGUUUGCUUGAUUUAUCUGAUAUGUCCAGUCUGUCUGAUUUGCUUCUGCAGCCAUCUGUGAUCAGAUGCGUGACCAGGCUUAGAGGCAUCUGCCUAGGAUCUGUUUUUGUCAGCCAACCUAUGUGCCUCCUAUGGAGGUUUCGGAUAUGUCAAGUGAUUAUCGCUAUGUGAUUUAAAGUUUAAGUUCAUUUUUUUCUUGUUUGGUUAAACAAGUCUUGUGUAUUUUCAAAAAGGGGCUAAGUCCUUUUUGUCUGAUAUGUAUAUAUAUCAUGACGUAGGGAUGAUGUGUAUAUAUGUGCAUAAAAAGUUUUAAAAAUUUUCUGUCUCAUAUAAGUCUGAACAGCUCAAUGGACGUUGUAUAUUUGUUAUCUG
This is a non-coding RNA of Camellia sinensis, 575 nucleotides long. The record is from RefSeq and is a predicted model, not a curated record. NCBI's taxonomy places the organism in Eukaryota, Viridiplantae, Streptophyta, Magnoliopsida, Ericales, Theaceae.